AAAACUACGGUCCCACGUUCAGAUUGCAGGCUGCAACUCGCCUCGCAUGAAGUUGGAAUCGCUAGUAAUCGCGAAUCAGAAUGUCGCGGUGAAUACGUUCCCGGGCCUUGUACACACCGCCCGUCACACCAUGAGAGCCGAUAACACCCGAAGCCUGUGAGCUAACCGUAAGGGGGCAGCAGUCGAAGGUGGGGUUGGUGAUUGGGGUGAAGUCGUAACAAGGUAAC
This 227-nucleotide ribosomal RNA is filed under the name uncultured bacterium. RNAcentral describes it as "partial 16S ribosomal RNA". It matches the Rfam family "Bacterial small subunit ribosomal RNA", at positions 1276 to 1500 of the family's 1533-position model. The record is from RNAcentral.